GAUGAACGCUGGCGGCGUGCCUAAUACAUGCAAGUCGAGCGAACGGACGAGAAGCUUGCUUCUCUGAUGUUAGCGGCGGACGGGUGAGUAACACGUGGAUAACCUACCUAUAAGACUGGGAUAACUUCGGGAAACCGGAGCUAAUACCGGAUAAUAUUUUGAACCGCAUGGUUCAAAAGUGAAAGACGGCCUUGCUGUCACUUAUAGAUGGAUCCGCGCUGCAUUAGCUAGUUGGUAAGGUAACGGCUUACCAAGGCAACGAUGCAUAGCCGACCUGAGAGGGUGAUCGGCCACACUGGAACUGAGACACGGUCCAGACUCCUACGGGAGGCAGCAGUAGGGAAUCUUCCGCAAUGGGCGAAAGCCUGACGGGGCAACGCCGCGUGAGUGAUGAAGGUCUUCGGAUCGUAAAACUCUGUUAUUAGGGAAGAACAUAUGUGUAAGUAACUGUGCACAUCUUGACGGUACCUAAUCAGAAAGCCACGGCUAACUACGUG
RNAcentral lists this ribosomal RNA (497 nucleotides) under uncultured bacterium. RNAcentral's name for it is "partial 16S ribosomal RNA". It matches the Rfam family "Bacterial small subunit ribosomal RNA", at positions 28 to 507 of the family's 1533-position model. The record is from RNAcentral.